Molecule: long non-coding RNA, 9717 nt
Organism: Anarrhichthys ocellatus (wolf-eel)
Lineage: Eukaryota; Metazoa; Chordata; Actinopteri; Perciformes; Anarhichadidae
Exons: 2
Source: RefSeq, a predicted model, not a curated record
UACGUCUCACCAAUGGUACUUUCUAUUGGGAGAAGGUCAAAUGAUUCCGCAUGUCUGCCCGUGUGUGUACAUUCCCGAGAUGGUGCACGCCUGAUGAAGAAACACCCCUGAUACCUGAAUCGCGUGUCCGAAAAUGUUUGCGACCGUCUGAAGCGGCUCCUUCGCCUCGUGUCACCUUCUGAAAGUUUGAAAAGUCAACAUCAAACCUCGACCUCCCAAAGCCUCCGAGCAGGAGAAAGAAGACGCUGCCAAGAUGUUCAGCACCAAAAGGUCAGCACAAUGUCACUUUUGAUCUAUUCUUAUCCACUCAAAAAAAAAAAAAGCCCGGCAGAAAUCUCAGGGAAUUUUAAAAUGUCUUCUGCUGAUAAUUGCUGACAUUUCUGGUCAGCUAUGUUCCAUUGAUGACUUUGGAUUCCAAAAGACAUUGAUGUGAAGAAAGGUGAUGGUUGAUUUCAGGUCACAACAAACAAAUCAUUCCAUUUAGUUUAGUGUAAAAUCUGUGAAUUAUUCUCUGUUGAUAUUUUCAGCUACCGCAUUUCUAAUUAGGUAGAGCCCAGAGAACCUUUUGAGCUGAAGUUUAAAUACUCUCACAGCCUUUGUAGGACGUUUAGGAAACCCGGUUCUCAGUCUUUCCCAGCUUGUGUGUACAUUCUGUAUUUUUAAUGGGACUCGCGGUAGCGUACGUACGUACGUACAUCAUUAAUCACUUGACUGCAAGGUUGUAAGUGGUCACGUUGCUUAGCCAGUGUGUGUACGGUGGGUUAGGUGGAUCAAAACAAAGUGCGUUUGGUUGUUUCUUUGAUGUGAACCGGCUCACAGCUCGGGUUUGGUUUGUAUUUAAUUAUCUUCAGCACUGGAUACAUCACUGAGAACAGCCCAUUUAUUCUACCAUUGAAAACGCAAGUGAAUUUCUCUUGAAUAAUCAAUUCCAUGACUUCUGAAAGAACUGUACGUUUUUAAUCAAUACGGUUAUAAUGUGCAGUCUUAUUACCUUAGAAGCUCAUUUUGUUUUCCCAGCCUUCAGGUAUUUAACCGAGGGAGGUCCUGUGCAGAAACUACUGCUUGUGUGACUGUAGUUUUUCAACAGGAAAUGUUAAAUGUAUGUGUCCACAGCCCAAACUGUUUAUUUUUUAAUUUAUUCAGAUAUAUUUUGAAGUCUAGUGUUUAUUAGACUCCUUGUAUAUGACAGUUGAAAUCGACUGUAGUUUAGGCAAACUUUUCUGCCUAAAACCUGGUAUGAAAAUACACACAAAAUACGUCGGGGUGAUGUCUUUUUCAGAAACUCAAAAGCAUAAGAAAUUAAAAGUAAGGAUUAAACUGUGCGUUUGUCUGCUCUAACGUAAGCUUCAAAUGUUAGCAUGUCUGGCUAACUAUCUUACAAGCAACAGUGGUAACACUAGGGUUAUUUUCCAAGACCAAGAAUCAGGCUACAUUAUUAUUAUUACAAUAUAAUGAUAUCAAAUAAAUAGUGCACAGUGGAUGUGCCAUCUAUUUGCCCACUGCGUGAAAGCUGGUCGUGGAUGCUACUAUAUCAGAAUGUAGGGCAGCAUUAGCAGGUCUGUCCUGCUCUUUAUUGGAUUGGGUGAGGUUUACACAACGACAACCCCAUACAAACUCUAUCCCAGAUAGAGUUGCAUACCAAAAGACUGUAAACCGUUAGUCCACAUUUUCAAAGUAGUUCUGAUAGUUUUGCAACUGAUCAUUACAAGAUCAGCUUACAUUUGACCUUGUGUCUUCAAGCACACACACACACACACACACGCACACACACGCACGCACACAGGGUUGACAUCUGCAGCUAAGCCGAAACGGCUUCAUGUUGAUGGCAGAAGAAUCCACAGUGUAUAAUCCACACACACAUCACCGCUGUGUUAAUGCACAGGCUUACCGGGGCUCACGGUGUGUGUGUGCAUGUAUGUAUGUAUGUAUGCAUGUAUGUAUGUAUAUAGAAUCAUGAGUGAGUGCUGAUGCAUUAUUCCAUGCAAAUUAAGCGUGGCUGAUGUUUGUGCAGGAUGGACGGUGAAAUAGUUGAGUUGGUGCUUCGGGGGGGGGCCUAGAAAGCCCCGGGGCUCAUGGUUCUUCAAUGCGGCCUUGCACACUGUGAGAUUGAUAGACUAACAUCCACCGCUCCAAUCCUGAUUUGGCCAAGAUAUUGACUGCUCCUUUGGCCACACUGUGGUAGUCUUAUAUGGUCGUCACUUCAUAAAUAAGCCACAUGAGGCUUAUUGUAGAUAUUUGUUGUCUGUCCAGGACAAGAUAUCCACAAAAAGAAUAGGGUAAGGAACGUGUUCUGUUGUGAGAAAGCGGGGUAUAUGAGGAGGUUGAGGUAUCAUAAUGUGUGUGUGUGUGAGUGAGAGAUAUUGUGGUACUGUGGGUGAGAAGAUGAUUAAACCAAGCCAGCUCUCCAUCUUCAGGGAGCUGUGUCAGCACAGGCGAUGACACGAAUAUGCUCAAAAUGACUAUAAUAGGUUGCCAUCUUCAAAUUCAAAGACUCUAAAAGCUCAUUCACCGUUUCUGCUGAAUGUGGAACAAAGCGGUUUUUUUGUUGUUUUCGUCUCCCCCCUAAACUGCUGAAUGAAACAUAAAGCGGGCGAGGAAAUCUGUGUAGCUGUCGGGGAUCGCUAUGUGCUGCAGUGGCUUUAUUAUCUGUGGGUUUUUAAAAUUGGCUCUCCUCUUGGGCUCCCUCCAGUCGCCUCAAAUCACACUUGCAUACGACACGAGACCCAAAUUAAAAGUCUUUCAUUAAAAUGUAAUCAGUCAAAUGUCUGAGCAUAGCAGCCUAGUUUUGAUUUGAAUGGAAUGGAAGCGUGUGAUAAUAAAUCCAAAGCAUUGGCACGUCUUUGUGCUUCUCACUUUUUCUGUUUAGUGCUCUCUCCUCUGCUGAGCCGCCUCACCAUAAUGGAUAAACGGAGAGCGCGCGCAUCCACAGCGUGAUUGUUUGUGUGUACGCUCGCUCAUUAAAAUGGAACUGGAGUGCCGUUAAUCUGCGUCUUUCAUUCCGCAUGAGAACAUUUAUGAAGUGACGCACCAUAUCUUUGAUUUGGGUUGCAAAUUGAAACUUUCUUGUCGGAGACGCUUCUGCCUGCGAGCAUAAAUCUGCGAUUUGUAACUUAUUUUUUAUUUUCUUGUCUUAAAUGUUAGUUGGCUUCUUCGUGGUGGGCGUUGAUAUUUCUUUUGUUUUGCCUCAUCGGUAACAAGUUGCGGUGUAUUCCACCACGAUUGAAGAUUUUAUACGAUUUAAGAGUUUUUAUUUGUGUAAGUCGAAUUAUGGCAACCUGUACAGCUGUGUCAGUCUCAUGCACACUUGCCGCCAUUUUUCAUGGAUGUAGUUAAUGUAGAUGGUCAUGUCGGAAAAUGAUGUCCCUGUUCUUUAUCCCACCUGUAAAGCUUUUAUUGGUCCAUUUGUUUUUUUCCAACCAGCAGAAAUAACAGUGGGCCCAACACCGUACCUAUCUGAACAGCUCAAUAGAUAUCUCAUCCCUUCCUCCCACAACCAACAGUCACUCAACUGCUUUGUUUAGUAAUACAAGCGGUUGCAAACUCUGUUAAGCCACAUUAUCAAAACCUAAUGAAAAUGAAUGCUCCUCAACUGUCAGAUAUGAUCAUCCACUGCACUGUCAAAUGUCAUGUGCACCAUUUUCAUCAUUACACCAAAUAUCAACAUUUGCCUUCAUUUUCACUUCCCAGAAGUUCAAACCGUGGGAUGUUUACAACCGCCGAAGUUCCAAAAAAUUGAUGCAUUGUAAGUAAACAGGUUAUUCCCUUCACACUGCUGACUGGAGGCAGUUUUGGAGCAGCUCCUUCACAGGUCUUUCAAGGUUUGUUCGAUGCCUAGUUUUUCUCCCAGCCAAAAGGUUUCAUACAUGGCUCCUGGCUUCUUAUUUUGUGGACCAGUGUGGGAGGAUAAGACCUAGAGGAAUGUUGUCACCAUGUUGUUAACUCUUGACUUGUUACUAUUCUACGUGCCAUCUAAACAGAUAGCAGUAACUGUACUGCUUGUGGUUCAUGUUCUGUGACACUACUUGUUCAGCUUCCACCUGGAAUGUUGCGGACGUCGUCUAACUCCACCACGCGACACAGCCUCAGUCCGACCCAGAUGAAGUCACUCAGCGCUGUCUUCCCGGGCUGUGGAGGUGUUUGCUCGGAUGGCUGUUGCAGAAAGUAAUUUGGUUUCCGCCCGUGGUUGUCAGCUGUGCGGGGUCAUCAAUACAAAGUAGUUCCUCCCAGCUGUUUUUUUGGAAACUUACCCGGACAGGAACAGGAAAUGACUGUCGCGCCGGCAGCGGCUCAGACGGAGAUCAAGGUGCGAAGGUGUCUCAACCGUAGCCAGUAAUUGCCCUCAGUGGGAGCUGUAAUGAAAUUACCACAAUAUGAGUUGGACCCAUUAGCGAUAAAAUGGUGGACCUGACCUCGCCCAAAUCUCUCCACAGCUUUUCCCACAUUUGAUCUGACGGAGUUAAUGUUUAAUGUAGCCUGACUGCGAUGCGGGAUGCCCCAUUAUAGUGACACUGUGGAAAGGUGCCUUCUUGUGUCCGCUGAUACUUUCUCCCUCCGCUUCAGUGGGUGACUCAUCACAAACAAUCCAAAACAGCAAAGAAAGUAAACGCCUGUAUCCCUGCCUGCACCUCUGCCCUCAUCUUUAAAGCCAUCAAUGUGUCACAUAUUUAGUAUUGUAGUGAAGCUUCUGAUGGCAAGCAAGUAAUUACAGUCUUAACAAAAUAUCAGAUCCGACAUUGACCCCCCCACGUCUCCCGACCUUCAUAAGGAGUAAUUGGAUAUCUGACUGUCUGUAGCUCUGAGCUGGUGAUCGACAUCAAUGGGCUUGCACUUGAUUACUUAUGCAUGCAGGGGGAAGAGAAUGGUGUCUGGGGGGGGCAGGCAGAGUGCAUGCUAGGAUGUGUUAACCCCCUGCGAGGGGCCUGCUGAUCCAAUCAUGAUGAACAGGCUGUCACACCGACGCCGCACGCCGACUCUCCUUGGGCCGACCUUGAAGGGUUUGCAACAGCGUCGCUGCAACUCAUUCAAAGAUGAACUCUCUUGCACUUUGAGGACUUGGUAAUGUAAUAAACAUUAGGUUGGGCUCUACAUGAUUGAUUUUAGUUGAAUACCAAGCAAGUUUCUGCAUUGGAUUAUGGUGUAUACUUGGCCACAGAUGGUAGUUUGUGAGCGGCUGGCAGAUGUCCAUUAUAAUAACAUGACACCUCAAAAACCCCGGUCAGUAUUUUGACCAUCUUUUGUACAGCAGUGCACAAGGUACUAAUAAACAGUAGCAACAGUACCUUUAGAUUGUACUACAGAGAAACUCUAGCUCAUACAACCUCGGACGGAUUCCUAGGAAAGCGGCGACUUCACAAAAAGGACAAAGAACGGGACAAAGAACACAAGUAGUCAGAUGAUAUAAAAAAUUGUGUACAAACAUGUAGAUUAGUCAUACUUUUCGUUAAAUGAGAAAACAAAACUGUCCAUUAAUAACAUCAAUUCCUUAUUCAACGUUCUACUACAACACUGUACUUGCCACAGUUGGUUUCCACUUAUUAUCCAACGUAUGAAAUCACUUCCAAUUUGACAUAAUGCCCUAUAUUUACUGUCCGCCAUUUUAUUUGAAUGUCUGAAAUAUUUGCUCUGGAAUCUAUGCACCAUGUAGUGCCUGCAAACGUUUGUAGAGUGAAACAAAAAAGUAGCACGUGUUGCAUAGACAUUCUGCUGACAACGUGACAAUGACAUAUGUCACAUGAUGCAAACUGGUGAUGAUUCAACUGUCCGAAAUCACAAUUUAAUGCUGACUGUAGACCUCUUUAUUGCCAUCCUAUUGCUGGGACAACAGCUUUGGUCCAAGUUUACUUCCUGUCAGCUACUGCAUUAGCAAACAUUGCAGCAGGAUGCACAGAGGGGCCCAUUUAGAACGUUAAUGUUGUCAAGUUUGAAAAGGUCUUCAGAGUAAACUGUUGAGUGACUGUAGGUAAUGGUGAACGAAGGAGUGACACAGCACAUUGGGUGUUUUCCUUUAGGAUUUGUUUUAAUUUAAGUGAUAAAUAAAAAAAUAUAUUCGACCCAAUUUGUAAUAAAGCUGCUGAAUUGAUAACCGACUGCAAACACACCUGAAUCAAUACGUGAUGACGUUUACUGCACCUGUGGUAAGUGACCAUAACUAGACACACAUUGAUGAUGGAUGGAUGGAUAGAUAGGAACACUCGGAUGUGGUCUCAAUCAAGGUACUGUCAGUGCAGCUAUGGUGGUGGUUAACGUCAAAGGUAGUUGUCGGGUUUUGGUGUCGGACCUUAAUUGAUAAAAGAGCAAGUGCCUCUCUCUAGACUCCCCAUUCAGCUCAGUUGUUCAACAAUCAAAUGAUGAGGAAUCCGUCAGAGAAGAGCCUCAGACGAACAUGGAUCAGAAUGCACUGCAGCUCCAAGACGUGUCGUCUUUUGUGUAAGCCAGAGCGAAAGAGGAAGAACUAAUUAAUACCUCUCUUUGAGUAUUACCAUCUUCACCAAUAUGCAAAAACACAUGAAUACAAAACCCAUUCUGUUGGACAAAGACAUUGAGAUGGAGGAAAUCAUGCAGUGAAGUACAAGUCAAUGGGUGGGGGGAGGAGAGAGUCUGGUCACACUAAACACUGUAUCAUAAAUAACAUCAUAACUGUAUGCAGGCCUUUAGAUGGCCUCUGUGUGUGUGCUGCUGGAGCCUCUUUUCUUAUUGGAGCCAGCAAAAACAAUGUGGAUCUAAUCAGUCUCACGGUCUGUACCGCCACCACUUAGUUCAUCGAUGCAGACGUCUGCAGCUUUUUGAUCAAGCAGACUUGGAUGCAGCAGGUCCUGGACAUAGGAAGUCCCCGCAUCAGUAAUGGAGCCGGAGGACCACUAAAACUCUGCAGGAAGGCGAUGAGGAGAGGGCUUUCUGCUGACUCUGGAAAGAGGGAGGUAUCAAAUGUCAAGGGAUGCAUUAAUUCCACUGUUUCUUUCAUGAGCCUAAGCAGAGCAAGACUGGAUAAAUAAGCAGGAAAAGGUUUUGCACGUGUCAGUGUUUGUGCACCGCAUUUAUAUUUAUAUAUUUAUAUAUGCUCUCAGAAAAGCCAGAUGUCAUUGAAAUCCCAUCUUUUCAUUGAAUGUUGACAUUAAAUGUGUUGAUUCAUCCGCUCUCACUGCACGAUGUUCAGUCUAACUUCUCUUAUUGAUCGAGGGGCAGUCGACUCAACCACUCUAUUGAUUUUGCGUGCUAUUUAAAGGAGAUUUUGUUGGUCGAUAAUCAGUGGCCAGAGAUAAGAUCCCAGCUCCCCUCUGUGCGCUCUGACAUGCAGGUCACCGGUCGAGCCUUACAGCCCCUGCACUGAACGCCGUCGCAGUCGGUUGGUUUUGUCCAUAAGGUUAAGUCUGUUGUUGUGUUUGUGGAUGGAUGAGGCAAGUCUACAGCUUACUGCAGGUUGUUUGUGGCAGUAUUUAAGCCUUAGCCUCGUGUGCUACUUUCUCUCCUCUAAUCGCCAGUGGGAUAAACACCACUACCAUGACAACGGAUGUAUGUUGUGGCUGUCUGAAACACAUUGCCCAUUUUAAUAAAGUUAAAGCAAAACUGAAAAUCGAUUGUAUCGCAGUCCUACGACAACCUGGUGCCUACAUUACCCACAAUGCAACGCGAUCACCGACAGUUGGGUUGGAGAUUUGGCCGUGUUAUGCUAGUAGUGACCGUUUUUUUUUUUUUUUUUUUUUUUUUUUUUUUUUUUUUUUUUUUUUUUGAGGAAAGAAGGCUUUAUUGAACUAGCGUAAUAUGCUAAUAAUAAUACAUUAGCAACAUUGGCAUUAAUUGGAAUUCGUCUUUCUUGCCUCCAGAGGCAUACAAAUAAAUGUUAAAUGUUCCGCUUUUUCAACAGCUACUUGCUAACUUUAACGUUGAGUGCUUAGCAUCUAGCUUCGUGGGUUUAGCAGAGCUUUUUCCUCCAGUAGGUUUCCUGGGCCCAACAGCCAUAAUGAUAACCUAAAAGAUGCUAAACUGUUUGGUAGAGCUCAGGUGUUUGAUAAUUCUGCGAGGGUUUGACAUUACGAGUAACGCCUUUUAUAUUACUCAUAGAGAUUAGAUCUGUUGUUGAUAAGAUAUUGAUUAGUACAACUUCAAACAUCACCUAAGCAUUUGUAUUUCAUGUCUGUGAUCCUGUAUGUGUUCCAUGUAGUCUAGAAAUGUCAUGUAAAGGCCCCUGAGAUUCAACAAGUCUCGGGUAUUUACGGCAAUACAGAUGCCAUAAAUUUACUGCAUCUGUAUUAUCGGGGGCUGUUCCCAGUGCACGCAGCACAUAUUUGUAUUUAUUCAUAGCAUGUACCCAGCAUUCUAUGCCACUACAAUCAAAGUGAGUGGUGUAGCUCCACCCAGAGGACCCAUCUCACCUCGUAAACAACAUCAAUGUAACGGAAACGAUAAAAAUAGCAUAAAGGUCGGGGUGUAACAUGCAUGUUUCCUCACUCAGUUUCCCACCCUCGCACUUGUCACUUAUUUUGAUGAGCUAUCUGCUACAACCUAAAGGUGUCCACCUCUAACUGGAGGCCGUAAAUCUGCAAGAAUUAGAAAAGAAAUGUGGUUUUGAACAAGUUGUGUCCACUGCUCGCGUGUUUCUCGCUGCUUACUCCUGUUGUUGCUGUGCCCUUUCUGUGCAUUAGAGCGACACAACAGCAGACGCCACACGCCCUCCGGACAAGGGUUUAAGUAGAUAAACAUGCGACUUAUAAUAUAGAACAGAUGCCAAUCAUUUGUUAUUUGAAUGUGUGAAUUGGUGCAUGUUGUAGUAUUAAGUAGCAGUAUUACAUUUUAUUUAUUUUAUGGUGGCAGUUCAACUCCUCGUUGGGGAAGCAGAACGAAUCGACAGCUAUACGUCUCCUCAGGAGACUCAAUUAUUUGAGUGCAAUGUAUUGCCUCACACAUCCGAUCAAUGCACAGAGGUUGAAUGUCACCUGGUGAAAUUGGUGAAAGUGAGCCCCGCAGGCCACGUGCACCAGCUAAUGAAAUUUUGAUGCAGCUUUAUUUAGAGCUAUAUUUUACAGGAUUACGUUCCAGGCUCCGUUUCCAACUUCAAAGGCGAGCUCUCACCACAGCUUGGGGGGGGUAGCGAGCCGAGCCGCUCCCCUCAAUAGGAAGCUUCCUAACAGUUUUGUGCUUUUUAAAUUUUUUUUCUCUCCACCCUUUCUUCCAUCAUUCAAAAGGCUCCCAAUGAACAGUUCUAAUCUGAGUCUUUAUUUUUCAUCCUUCUCCCACUUCGCUCGGUUAAUCCACGAAGUGAGAUAUGCAGUGGAUUUGUGUGUGGCUCUCUUGAUUUAGAUUAGUGCUUUCAUCAGUUGUGGCCAGAUGAGAGUUACUGGGGUGGGGGGGGUGUUAUAGAACUGCCAGCUCUCUCCAUUAAAAUGGUUCUAGACUGGUGACAGCUUAGCCCCAGAAUAAACACUGUUUCUGCAGCACGGAUGCAUUCAUAUCCUACGGCUGAUGUGAAGGCACGUCAGUGGUUGCAUCUGUCGGUUGUCACAAUGUGCCGAGUGCAUUUAAUGGGGCCGCACAACUAAUAGUCUCAAGAUCACAAUCUUGUGCGAUGUAUUUUGUGUUACCUUCCUGCUGUGUUCGCAGUAGCUGGGAGAUGCGUUGCAUCAAACCCAGCGCUCCCAAUUUCUUGCUCUAAGCUGCAUCAACAAAAUGACAGGUGUGAUGUGUGAGAGACAAGUUAGUAAAAUGCAGUGAAAGAAAAAAAAA